CCUCCAACCUUGGCCUCCCAAAGUGAUGGAAUUACAGGCACACCUCUGAUGAUUGCUGCAUGUAUUCUGCCCAGGGUUUUUGGCUGUGAUCACUGGGAGAGAUAGAAGGGACUGUAUUUGCUCCAUCUUACCCAGCUCUGCAAACCUGCUGGAGAGUUUAAUUGGCAUAUGACUUCUAUCCUCAAAGUCACAAGAUGGCUGCUGGAGUUCCAGUCAGGAUGUCUGUACAGAACAUCUGUCCAGUCCCUGGGAUGGUGAGGCUAUAACCACAAAGGAAUAAGAGAAGACGACUAGUUUUGUAAUGGCUUUGAAUGAUGCAUUGGCCCACGUGGACCACCUUCCAUUUCCCAAGACUUUUUGAAGGCAAUGAAUGAGAAGAAAGCAGAGAAAACAGUGGGCGUGAGGUCAGAUGACUCAGGCUUGAGUACUGAUCACAUCAAGGAUUGGACGCACUGCUCUUAGGAAGGCACAACUUCUACUACUUUCAGUCUUAUCAACUGUGAGAGUGUACCCUUGCUGUAGAUGCCACCCGCCCAGCAGUCCUCAUCAUCUUGGCCCAGGAUCACCUGAAACAGAUGAUCCUCCUUUUGAGCUACCAUCAGAAGGUCCACAGUACUAGCCCAGCGCUACAUCCCAAUGCCUACGCCAUUCAUCUCACCUCAUCUCAUCACGUAGACAUUUCAUCAUGUCACAUCAUCACAAGAAGGGAAUCUAUUCACAAAUAAGGUUUUGUGGAUUCAACAGCUUUACUGAAGAUAUGUAGAUUGUUGUUAGCGCUUCCUACCUUGCACAGCCUCUUGUCCCGUCACUGGCCCCAUGCAUCUUCCUCUGCUGCCUUCAAGAAGCUCCAGAUCCUGCCACAGACGUGCUCCACUCAGAGGACUGGAGUCCAAUCCCCUGACAGUGCUUUUCUCUUUGGGAAGCACCCCCUCCCCCACUGCCAUUAAACCUCUGGAAUUCUAUGGAAUAA
This 970-nucleotide long non-coding RNA is filed under the name Homo sapiens (human). RNAcentral describes it as "HSALNT0383176". Lineage: Eukaryota; Metazoa; Chordata; Mammalia; Primates; Hominidae. The record is from RNAcentral.